UGUUUGGCGCAGCUACACAUGCAGUCGAGCGGAAACGAGUUAACUGAACCUUCGGGGAACGUUAACGGCGUCGAGCGGCGGACGGGUGAGUAAUGCCUAGGAAAUUGCCCUGAUGUGGGGGAUAACCAUUGGAAACGAUGGCUAAUACCGCAUGAUGCCUACGGGCCAAAGAGGGGGACCUUCGGGCCUCUCGCGUCAGGAUAUGCCUAGGUGGGAUUAGCUAGUUGGUGAGGUAAGGGCUCACCAAGGCGACGAUCCCUAGCUGGUCUGAGAGGAUGAUCAGCCACACUGGAACUGAGACACGGUCCAGACUCCUACGGGAGGCAGCAGUGGGGAAUAUUGCACAAUGGGCGCAAGCCUGAUGCAGCCAUGCCGCGUGUGUGAAGAAGGCCUUCGGGUUGUAAAGCACUUUCAGUCGUGAGGAAGGUAGUGUGUUUAAUAGCUGCUUUAUUUGACGUUAGCGACAGAAGAAGCACCGGCUAACUCCGUGCCAGCAGCCGCGGUAAUACGGAGGGUGCGAGCGUUAAUCGGAAUUACUGGGCGUAAAGCGCAUGCAGGUGGUUUGUUAAGUCAGAUGUGAAAGCCCGGGGCUCAACCUCGGAAUAGCAUUUGAAACUGGCAGACUAGAGUACUGUAGAGGGGGGUAGAAUUUCAGGUGUAGCGGUGAAAUGCGUAGAGAUCUGAAGGAAUACCGGUGGCGAAGGCGGCCCCCUGGACAGAUACUGACACUCAGAUGCGAAAGCGUGGGGAGCAAACAGGAUUAGAUACCCUGGUAGUCCACGCCGUAAACGAUGUCUACUUGGAGGUUGUGGCCUUGAGCCGUGGCUUUCGGAGCUAACGCGUUAAGUAGACCGCCUGGGGAGUACGGUCGCAAGAUUAAAACUCAAAUGAAUUGACGGGGGCCCGCACAAGCGGUGGAGCAUGUGGUUUAAUUCGAUGCAACGCGAAGAACCUUACCUACUCUUGACAUCCAGAGAACUUUCCAGAGAUGGAUUGGUGCCUUCGGGAACUCUGAGACAGGUGCUGCAUGGCUGUCGUCAGCUCGUGUUGUGAAAUGUUGGGUUAAGUCCCGCAACGAGCGCAACCCUUAUCCUUGUUUGCCAGCGAGUAAUGUCGGGAACUCCAGGGAGACUGCCGGUGAUAAACCGGAGGAAGGUGGGGACGACGUCAAGUCAUCAUGGCCCUUACGAGUAGGGCUACACACGUGCUACAAUGGCGCAUACAGAGGGCGGCCAACUUGCGAAAGUGAGCGAAUCCCAAAAAGUGCGUCGUAGUCCGGAUUGGAGUCUGCAACUCGACUCCAUGAAGUCGGAAUCGCUAGUAAUCGUGGAUCAGAAUGCCACGGUGAAUACGUUCCCGGGCCUUGUACACACCGCCCGUCACACCAUGGGAGUGGGCUGCAAAAGAAGUAGGUAGUUUAACCUUCGGGGGGA
This 1433-nucleotide ribosomal RNA is filed under the name Vibrio sp. CN41. Its description in RNAcentral is "bacterial SSU rRNA". It matches the Rfam family "Bacterial small subunit ribosomal RNA". Lineage: Bacteria; Pseudomonadati; Pseudomonadota; Gammaproteobacteria; Vibrionales; Vibrionaceae. The record is from RNAcentral.